CUUUAUUGGAGAGUUUGAUCCUGGCUCAGGAUGAACGCUGGCGGCGUGCCUAAUACAUGCAAGUCGAGCGAAUGGAU
RNAcentral lists this ribosomal RNA (77 nucleotides) under Bacillus thuringiensis. RNAcentral describes it as "partial 16S ribosomal RNA". It matches the Rfam family "Bacterial small subunit ribosomal RNA", at positions 1 to 75 of the family's 1533-position model. Lineage: Bacteria; Bacillati; Bacillota; Bacilli; Caryophanales; Bacillaceae. The record is from RNAcentral. RNAcentral also lists the same sequence under 1 other name.